Molecule: non-coding RNA, 123 nt
Organism: Triticum urartu
Lineage: Eukaryota; Viridiplantae; Streptophyta; Magnoliopsida; Poales; Poaceae
Source: Rfam
UGAGUACUCCCUCCGUCCUGAAAUACUUGUCCUUGAAAUGAUAAAAUAGAUGUAUCUAUAACUAAAAUAAGUCUCUAUACAACCAUUUCGAGGACAAGUAUUUCCGGACGGAGGGAGUAGCUU